This 427-nucleotide ribosomal RNA is filed under the name uncultured bacterium. RNAcentral's name for it is "bacterial SSU rRNA". It matches the Rfam family "Bacterial small subunit ribosomal RNA", at positions 355 to 774 of the family's 1533-position model. The record is from RNAcentral.
UGAGGAAUCUUGGACAAUGGGGGCAACCCUGAUCCAGCAAUGCCACGUGUGUGAAGAAGGCCCUAGGGUUGUAAAGCACUUUCAAUCUGGAGGAAGUUUAACUGAUUAAGAGUUGGUUAAAUUGACGUUACAGAUAGAAGAAGCACCGGCUAACUCCGUGCCAGCAGCCGCGGUAAUACGGAGGGUGCGAGCGUUAAUCGGAAUCACUGGGCGUAAAGGGUUCGUAGGCGGUUAGAUAAGUCAGAUGUGAAAGCCCAGGGCUCAACCUUGGAAUUGCAUUUGAUACUGUCUAACUAGAGUAUAGUAGAGGAGAGGAGAAUUUCCGGUGUAGCGGUGAAAUGCGUAGAGAUCGGGAAGAAUACCAGUGGCGAAGGCGACUCUCUGGACUAAUACUGACGCUGAUGGACGAAAGCAUGGGUAGCAAACA